AUUGAACGCUGGCGGCAUGCCUUACACAUGCAAGUCGAACGGCAGCAUGGAGAGCUUGCUCUCUGAUGGCGAGUGGCGAACGGGUGAGUAAUGCAUCGGAACGUACCGUGUAAUGGGGGAUAACGUAGCGAAAGGUACGCUAAUACCGCAUACGACCUGAGGGUGAAAGCAGGGGAUCGCAAGACCUUGCGUUAUACGAGCGGCCGAUGUCAGAUUAGCGAGUUGGUGAGGUAAAGGCUCACCAAGGCGACGAUCUGUAGCGGGUCUGAGAGGAUGGUCCGCCACACUUGGACCGAGACCCGGCCCAGACUCCUACGUGAGGCAGCAGUGGGGAAUAUUGGACGAGUGGCGAAAGCCUGAUCCAGCAACGCCGCGUGCGGGAUGACGGCCUUCGGGUUGUAAACCUCUUUCAGUACCGACGAAGCGCCAAUAACGGUGGUGACGGUAGGUACAGAAGAAGGACCGGCCAACUACGUGCCAGCCGCCGCGGUAA
Molecule: ribosomal RNA, 493 nt
Filed under: uncultured bacterium
Lineage: Bacteria
Description: partial 16S ribosomal RNA
Rfam family: Bacterial small subunit ribosomal RNA
Source: RNAcentral